Molecule: long non-coding RNA, 245 nt
Filed under: Ananas comosus (pineapple)
Lineage: Eukaryota; Viridiplantae; Streptophyta; Magnoliopsida; Poales; Bromeliaceae
Description: long non-coding RNA (ACOM_LNC022581)
Source: RNAcentral
ACACUAAUUUUUUUUUAUAUUUUUAAAAUAACUUAAUGGCAUGAUUGAUUUUAUAUUAAAAAUAUUAGAUGCUUCAAAAGAGAUAAUCGACAUCAUAUGUGAGGUCAAAAUAAUCAUAAAUAUAAAGGCUGAUAUUGAGAAUGGUGAGAUUGGACUUGAUGUGGCGAAUCGUGCGUAUAUAAAAAAUUAAGAGGAGGUCAGGAUAGGGAGGAAAGUGUAAAACUGCUAAAGGUUGGGGAUCAAUG